Molecule: ribosomal RNA, 435 nt
Filed under: uncultured fungus
Lineage: Eukaryota; Fungi
Description: eukaryotic LSU rRNA
Rfam family: Eukaryotic large subunit ribosomal RNA
Source: RNAcentral
GACCUCGGAUCAGGUAGGGAUACCCGCUGAACUUAAGCAUAUCAAUAAGCGGAGGAAAAGAAACCAACAGGGAUUGCCUCAGUAACGGCGAGUGAAGCGGCAACAGCUCAAAUUUGAAAUCUGGCUCUUUCAGGGUCCGAGUUGUAAUUUGUAGAAGAUGCUUUGGGUGUAGCUCCGGUCUAAGUUCCUUGGAACAGGACGUCAUAGAGGGUGAGAAUCCCGUUUGUGGUGUGGACUACCUUGGCUCUGUGAUACACUCUCAACGAGUCGAGUUGUUUGGGAAUGCAGCUCAAAAUGGGUGGUAAAUUCCAUCUAAAGCUAAAUACUGGCGAGAGACCGAUAGCGAACAAGUACCGUGAGGGAAAGAUGAAAAGCACUUUGGAAAGAGAGUGAAACAGUACGUGAAAUUGUUGAAAGGGAAGCGUUUGAAGUCAG